AUGACACGAAAUGCUCCUUUUCUCUUCCUCCUCAUAGGUGCAGUGAAAGGGAACAUGUGCUCUCACAGAUGGAAAUCACUGCCUCCUGAAACAACACGCAGCACUAAAUACUCAGGGGCAAAACAGCAAAGCAGCAGGAACAAAGAGCAUUUUGAAAACCAACUUGGUUUUGUCUCGGCUUUUUGGAGGCAGGUCUGUGACAGGGAGACAUCUCCCCUGGGAUGUGUGGUGCCUUUCUUGCGGCGAGCAGCGCAGUCGGGCAGCUCGCCAGCCCUGCUCCUGCUGGGCAGUGCUGCUUUGAGUGCCACACAGCAUCUCUCCCCUCCUCCAGCCCCCACAGCCUCGCACCGCACUCGGCUUGGUUUCUGACCAUCAAGGCAGAGCUCAACAGACUCUGCUUUCAUCUCUGCCCGAGACAUUUGCCGCAUCAGGUUGUCACCAGCAUCGCGGGCCCCCUGUUUAUCUAGACCGGCCCAGGAGGCAACUUUGCUCACCGAAUACAUAAUUCAUCCAGCACCCCUCCUGCUCCUCGCAGAGAGCCACGGGGGUGAAAUCACCAACUGAGGAGAGGAGAUUAGGGCUGGGGGAAGAUUACAGCUCCCUCCUCGUAUAUCAGGCAAUUAAAUCGCCUCGGCUCUGCUCCGUUGUUUUCAGAAGCUGCUACCAGCAGCUCCGGCGGCUGGCAGGGUGCAAGGGAGCGCUGGGAGGCUGCACGUGGGCUGUGCUUUGGAAGGGGUUUAAAUUAAACCAUCUGGCAGGGCUGGUACCCAGGGCUGUGGCCUCUGUCUGCUGGUUAGUGAUUCAGGGAGCAGAAAGCAGCCCGUGCACACCCUGCAGAAAAUAGCCGUUUUCCCAGGCAGCUCCUGGAGGUGAAGGUUUUCUCCCCAAAACGCCUUGGACACACCAAAAAGUUUGUCCAAGACAGGAGACAGGUGCUCACUGAACCUCUAGGACAGCAGGGAAUUGCUCUUUUCCAGCUCCCAGGCUGGCAUGAGCCUUUGGAAGAAGUGGAAGGGCACAGUAGGUGACCACAGUCCAUGGGCAGAGUUCCUUGGGAGAAGGAAAACACGUUAGGAGAGGGAAUUAAAAUAAUGAGCACAUUUGUGAGAAUCUGCCCGAGGGAAAAUAGUUUAGAAAAUUAAAAACUCCAUAGUAACAGACCGAAAGCUGUUAACCAACAUCUAAUUAAACAAAAACUGCAAGCCCUACAACAAAACACAAAAAGGAGGGGAAAAAAAUAUAAAUCCAUGCAGCAACCAAGCUUACCCAGACCAAAACAAGUACUAAGGAAAUAAAAAUGAAAAAUAAACCA
RNAcentral lists this long non-coding RNA (1312 nucleotides) under Cyanistes caeruleus (blue tit). RNAcentral describes it as "lncRNA (ENSCCEG00000018223.1)". Lineage: Eukaryota; Metazoa; Chordata; Aves; Passeriformes; Paridae. The record is from RNAcentral.